RNAcentral lists this unclassified non-coding RNA (200 nucleotides) under soil metagenome. RNAcentral describes it as "partial contains internal transcribed spacer 2 and large subunit ribosomal RNA". The record is from RNAcentral.
CCUGUCCGAGCGUCAUUAGACCACUCAAGCCCUGCUUGGUAUUGGGCCGUGCUAGCAAUGGCAGGCCUCAAAUCUAGUGGCGGCGCUGCACACUCCGAACGUAGUAAUAACUCCCGUUACGGACGUGUGCGGUUGACGACCAAGGAACCCCAACUCUUCGGGUUGACCUCGGAUCAGGUAGGAAUACCCGCUGAACUUAA